AUUGAACGCUGGCGGCAUGCUUUACACAUGCAAGUCGAACGGUAACAGGUUAAGCUGACGAGUGGCGAACGGGUGAGUAAUGCAUCGGAACGUGCCCGGUCGUGGGGGAUAACGCAGCGAAGGCUGCGCUAAUACCGCAUACGAUCUGAGGAUGAAAGCGGGGGACCGUAAGGCCUCGCGCGAUCGGAGCGGCCGAUGUCAGAUUAGGUAGUUGGUGGGGUAAAGGCUCACCAAGCCAACGAUCUGUAGCUGGUCUGAGAGGACGACCAGCCACACGGGGACUGAGACACGGCCCAGGCUCCUACGGGAGGCAGCAGUGGGGAAUUUUGGACAAUGGGCGAAAGCCUGAUCCAGCAAUGCCGCGUGCAGGAAGAAGGCCUUCGGGUUGUAUACUGCUUUUGUACGGAGCGAAAAGGUCUCCUCUAAUACAGGGGGCUCAUGACGGUACCGUAAGAAUAAGCACCGGCUAACUACGUGCCAGCCGCCGCGGUAA
RNAcentral lists this ribosomal RNA (493 nucleotides) under uncultured bacterium. RNAcentral describes it as "partial 16S ribosomal RNA". It matches the Rfam family "Bacterial small subunit ribosomal RNA", at positions 29 to 523 of the family's 1533-position model. The record is from RNAcentral.